RNAcentral lists this transfer RNA (72 nucleotides) under Paracoccus sp. SMMA_5_TC. RNAcentral's name for it is "tRNA-Cys". The record is from RNAcentral. Lineage: Bacteria; Pseudomonadati; Pseudomonadota; Alphaproteobacteria; Rhodobacterales; Paracoccaceae. RNAcentral also lists the same sequence under 1 other name.
GGCUUGAUUCUGUUGGUUUGUUUCCGGAUUGCAAAUCCGUGAAGACCGGUUCGAUUCCGGUACCCGCCUCCA